This is a long non-coding RNA of Drosophila gunungcola (fruit fly), 622 nucleotides long. RefSeq lists it as uncharacterized. Lineage: Eukaryota; Metazoa; Arthropoda; Insecta; Diptera; Drosophilidae. The record is from RefSeq and is a predicted model, not a curated record. The transcript is spliced from 4 exons.
ACACUAAGCAGGGCUUAUAUAAGCGGAGACUCAGCCCCGGACAAGUCACUUGCGUUCCGACGAUUCUCGAGGAAACAUCAACUAGGAGGAAUACCCGGGUUAUCACACUCAUCCUUGCCGGAAGAAAUACAAAUUUUGCACCCACCCACAACCACGCCGAGAACAAAAUUUGAUUACAGCAGCAAAGCUCAUAAAAGUAUUUGCUUACAAAAACAAAUCUAUUUUCAGAUACGAAUCUAUUUUAAUUUAAUGUUCCCUGGAAAGGAAAGGCGCAUUAGCUUCAAAAUGAGAAGAGUUUAAGCAGAAAAUACAGCAGUACUAUGCGUAUAAUAUCCACCACGUUAACAGCAAGAAGCCGUUUAUAAAUUUCAAGAAUACAGAAACUAUUGUCCAAUUCAUGGUACUCUUCAAAAGCAUCAAAAAGCAGGACUCCCAGGAAAGUUUAGUCAUCCGAAUGAACUCCAUCGCCGACUAUAGCCAAAGGAUUGCUGAACUUGUCGGUAAAAACUAUUUGAAUUUAAAAACAGUUCAACCGUUUAUGUUUGUAAAAAGCCACAAAGCAAAUUCUUUAAAAACAUGUAUGAAGUGAGUGUUAAAAACUAUGUUCUUUGAUAAACUUUAU